Molecule: ribosomal RNA, 262 nt
Filed under: uncultured bacterium
Lineage: Bacteria
Description: partial 16S ribosomal RNA
Rfam family: Bacterial small subunit ribosomal RNA
Source: RNAcentral
AAUGAACGCUGGCGGCGUGGUUAAGACAUGCAAGUCGAACGGUUUUUGUUGUGUAGCAAUACAUAACAAAAGCAGUGGCGAACGGGUGCGUAACACGUGAACAAUCUACCUUCAAAUGGGGAAUAGCUCGCCGAAAGGCGAAUUAAUACCGCAUGUGGUUGCCUCUCGCAUGAGAAGCAUACCAAAGUCAGGGACCGCAAGGCCUGACGUUAGAAGAGGAGUUCGCGGCCAUCAGCUAGUUGGCGAGGUAACGGCUCACCAA